RNAcentral lists this long non-coding RNA (8788 nucleotides) under Citrus x clementina. Its description in RNAcentral is "Citrus clementina (C. clementina) long non-coding RNA (CCLE_LNC003589)". Lineage: Eukaryota; Viridiplantae; Streptophyta; Magnoliopsida; Sapindales; Rutaceae. The record is from RNAcentral.
CUAAAGGAUUUUCUGACAUGGAAGAGUUCAGGGAUCUUCAAGCUUGCCUUGAUGAAGUGAAGACAAAACUCCAAUCUGGUCCCGUGGCUACCUAAGUAUCAGGAAUGUGCUAUUUUUGAAAUUUAGUAACAAGGUUAAAUCUGCAACUAAAAAUUAUUUUAGUUUGUACUGUAGUGGAGACCUUAAGCAGGACUGAAUAUCUUGUAUUGUUGUAUCACCUUUUCUGUAACAAAACGGUCUAGUUUUACUAUUUUUAUUAUUUUUGUAUUUUCGGUGCUGUAACUAAUCUCAUUUGACAAUUUAAAUAUAUGGCUUCAAGUUCUUUAAAUGUAACAUCAAGUGUUGUUUCAACCUCUGUUCUUUUAUGUAUUUCUUGCAUGCGGUGAUUUCAUUAACCUCAAUUUAAGGACAAUUUCAUAUCUUUUUUCUUUCUGCUUUUCUUUUAUCAUUUAAAAACAACACACACACACACACACACAUUUAUAUUUCAGAAGAGGAAAUUGCACGGGAUAUGACUCAAUACUUGCUAAAUGCCAAGACUAUGACCCAAUUAUUUACAUGCCGAGACUAUGACCGAAUAACAAGUGAAAGUACACAAAUAUCCUUAUAAGUAACUAAGUUAAAAAUAUAAAACUUGAGUUAGGAAGUUUAGGAAUGCAUUGAACUUGUAUUCAUUACUUUGAUUAAUCCAUUUACCGUUAUACAAGACAAUAACACGUACCAUAUCCAUUUACAUAAAAAUUAUGAGUUGACAAAGUAAGAAUAUUAACAAAAAUAAGUUGUUAAAAGUUCUUGUAGACUUCUGUGCUUCAGUUCUAGACUUCUAGAUUUAUAGACUUACCUACAUGUCUAUAAGUCUAGAUGUAAAGAAGUCACGAAAACGAUAACAAUGAUAAACAAACUCAAUUCAACAACAAAUUUGAUGUGUAAAAAUUGUGUUGAAGAAUUUUUUGGAAUCUGUUUGAAUUUGUUAAGGGAAUGUGAUGAUUUUAGUAAGUGUUUGAUAACAACUUAGAAUGUUGGACGCAUUAUAGUGCUGGGUGCAUGCUUUUGUUGGAAAAGAUAAGGGCAUUUUAGACUAGGGAUCACCAAAAUGUCAUACAAAUUUAAUUGAGUAAAAUUUGUCAUAUUUAUAUAAAAUGUACAUGAUUUUGUCAUAUAUAAAUAAAAAACCCAUUUCAGAAAGCAUUUAAACAAAGCGAGAGUACAAUAAAAAACCCAUUUUAGAAAGCAUUUAAACAAAGCCAGAGUACAAUAUAGAAAGAUUUUACUCAUUCUAAGUGUGUACCAAACAAAGAAAUGAACUCUCCUUUUCUAGUUAUAUAAUUAUUACAUGAAAUUAAUAAAAACAUGACGAAUUAUAAUUCCUUGCGAUAUAGUGGGGGUUAUAGAAAAGUCAAGAGUUGCUAGUGGAAGAUAAUAGGGAGAGUACAAUAUAUAUAUUAUGAACAUUCACAUUUAUUUUAAUAAAUUCAUAGCAUUUUUUUUGCUUAAAUAACAGGGUGUAUGUAUAUAUAUAUUGACAUAAAAAUUGCAUGACGUGUGGUUUAGCGUUUCUUGGUUGUUCAGUGCUAGUUUUAUGUCAAUUUUUAUUGACAUAAAAAUUGCAUGACACAAAAAAGGCUGUUUUAACCAACUAAAAACCAAAAGCUAAAACCCAAAACCCCCCUCUUUUUCGUUUUCCAGGGACUUCACCUUGAUAUUCAACCAACACUUCUGAUGUCUGCCCUUCAAUAAACCAAGUCAUUCAUACACAUGAUUCUACUAUUGGUGAUGCCUCUGAUGUUUUUGUGACCCCAAAAUUAUUGGGGAAUAGUCAUGAAUCUGAAUCUGGAGUCCAAUGCAUUCACGCUGGUGGCUCAGCAGCCCAUUUAAAGGCAAUCCAACAGGCAGUGAUCUUGUCGAGGUGCCUUCUAAUAGAAAAGAGCUCAUGGCAAGAUGAAAUGCAAAGUAAGUUGUUUUAUGGUUGGCCGGUGUGUAGUCAUCUCGUUAAAGGCCAUAAGAUGUUUAGCAUAUUGCUAUUUAAUUUUUAAAUCAUUCUCAGUAAUAAUUCCUUUAGUAGAUUGAUGAUAAGAGAUUGCAUUACAGAUGAUAACGGAGCACAAUUUUUGUAGUUGUAUCCCUGUACAUCCAUCUUAAUAUCCUCAUUAUAUUCACAUGCCUUUUACGGGUGUUAUUUCUGGAUGCCGAAUGCUUUGCUCCACGUCUGGAUACCAAAUGCUUUGUUCCACAAAGCUGAGCUGGUUGAAAAGCUAGCUGAUGAGGUCAACACGUCCCUUAAGUAAUUUGAGGAUGAACACUGUGUUCCCGAAAGUCUUACUCUAAUGAUACUUAAAGAAGCAAUGAGAAUGGAUGUUGCAGCAGCUUUGCUGAACUCAACUCCAGUUCCAAAAAUGGAACAUGUGAAAACCGAAAAUGCAUUGUUUUUUUUUUUUUCCUCUUUAUGACUUCUCUAGUUGGGGAAUGUAUUAGAUAUUCACCUAAUCAGUAGGCCUUGAAGGGAUCCCAUGUUAGCCCCUUGAUGUUGGUCUGUAACUAAGUAAAUACUUGACCUUGAAAAAGCUUUUGGAGGCAUCAGUUUCUCUCUGACUGGUGCUACUUUUUGGAUCUGUUGAUUUGGUCAUUUGCUGAUUUAUAGUUUGUUUUCUGAUUCAGGAUGGGAUAUGGCUCCAUACAUAGAGGCAACUGAUUCACAGCAGUCGUCAUGCUUCAUUGUAAAUAUAUAUACAAUACAGCAUCAGUUUUUCUUGAUUUUAAAUCUCAUAUUCUGAAGUGGUACUUCUGAUUCUCACAUGAUUUUUCCAUCUUUCAGCUAAAGUUUUUCUGUGAUCUCUUACGUAUUAGAUGGGAAUCCACCCGCAGUCGCACAAAAGGGCGUGCUUUAGAGAUGAUGGACAAACUGGUAUGAUCUGUGAGCCUUUUCUUCUUAAAUAUUUUGUUACCUAAACCAUUUUCAUUCAAAUUGACAAGUGUUGCUUAUCAAUCUAUAGAAGAUUCCAAACUUUCUGCAGCUAGUACUUUAUUGGACCCAAAAGCUUUUUUGCUUUUUCUAAGCUGCUAAUCAGGACUAGGUUUCUCUCCCUUAUAUCGCUAGAUAUCCCAUUAAUCGUUUGAUUUAGUUGUCUAGAGAGAUUAGGUACUUGCAUCUUCGCUUUUCACUUCACAAGUGAUUUCAUGUGCUAUCCUGUAUUCUGGUUCAAGAUUUUUGAAGGUUGCUUACCAUCAUAUUUUGCUUUGUUUCAGGUUGAGGGCAUUUCUAAUUCUUCUCCCGGUGUGACUCAAAGGAUUCCCUUUUGUUAUGUGAUUUAAGUUCCAACUAUUCCUACCCUGCGAAAGUAAUACUAUUUCUUUUGCUUCUUUGAAUGAUUGUGAUUUAAUUUUCUUGUCAUUUUGCCAACUAUCAUUAUGCUGUCAUUGUUUCAUAUCUUAUUUGACAUAUGUUGAUUUGGUUAGAGUUUAAUUGCUCUGUUUAUUCUCUUUAUAAUCUGUCUAUUUCGAUUUUUCUUGAUUUUAGGGAAUAUGCUGAACUUUUAGUAAGCUGUGGCUUGAUUGGAGAGGCUAUUAAAAUUUUUGAGGAUCUGGAGUUGUGGGAUAAUCUAAUAUACUGCAACUGGUAUGAUGUCAUAGAUAACCAUUAUCCUAAUCUCUCUGUCUGUCUGUCUGUCUCUAUCUCUCUCUUUCGUGUUGCUAAUGGGAGUUGGUUUUUUGUAUGAUGUAAAAAACAGCCUAUUGGGGAAGAAAGCAGCAGCUGUUGAACUAAUAAAAGCAAGGCUGUCUGAAAAGCCUAGUGACCCUAGAUUAUGGUUGGUUAAUGAGCCUUUUCUAUGAUCCAUUUUAUAGUUACUUCUCAUUUCAGUUAAAUCCAUUGUUGAUGUCACUUAUUGCAAUCUAGGGAUAAUUGUUCAUUGGUUGUAAGGAUAUUGUCAGAAGAAAAUGAAACCUUUUAAUUUUGUCUUUUACUUGCUGUAGCCGAUUUAAAAGCUCACUGUGCGUUCUUACUGAUUGCUUUUGGUCUUGCAUUUGAGUCAAUGGAUUUUAUACUCAUAUUCUGACAUUUAUUGUUAGUCUUCUGACGGUUCUGCACCUUGGUCCUAUAUUAUCUUCAGCAGUAUUAUCUAAAAGAUAAGUUUUUGCCGAAGAAAAUUUGCAUUCUAAACUAGAAAAUGAGGGGCCGGGGGGAGGGGGGGGGGGGGGUAGGUUGGGAGGCAACGGGAGACUGUUUUCCACUUAUCCUCUUCCCUGCCUGCAUUUUAGAUGAUUUUGAUGCACCAGGUGCCGUGAAAUGGUUGAGAAAUACAUACCAUCAAGUGAAUUCUGAAAAUCAUUUCCUUUUUGAAAAUAUUUGGUGCUAGACAUUUGAAUAUAUGGCCACAAUUUAAACAAUAAAGAUUUUCUGCAUUGAUUUCUUAUAAUGGAUAGAUGCAUGUAAGUAAAAUAUGAUAUCUUUUGAUUAUUGGCCCAUUUGUUCAGAAAGAAGGAAAAAAAAAAAAAUACAUGGUUGAAAGACAACUGUUACUUGACCUUAUGAUACAUUUUGUAGGUGUUCAUUAGGUGAUGUUACAAAUAAUGAUGCCUGCUAUGAAAAAGCUUUGGAAGUUUCGAAUGAUAAGUCAGCUCGAGCUACGGUGAUAUUGUAGUUCACAUUAUGCUUGUGCCGUGAUCAUUUUUUAGUUAACAUAUCUUUAUGUGAAUCAGAGGUCUCUAGCUCGUAGUGCAUACAACAGAGGGGAGUACGAGACAUCUAAAAUCCUUUGGUAUGUUGCUUUAAUGCUUUACUUCUCUUUCUGCCACACAGUAAUUUGCUGCAUUGACAACUGAUACGGCUGAAUGACAAUUUACCCUUGGUUUUGUCUCGGGGAGGCUGCCAUGGCCUUGAAUUCUUUGUAUCCGGAUGGCUGGUUUGCUCUUGGUGCUGCUGCAUUGAAGGUAUCAUAUUUUUGUAUUAGUAUGUGUUUAGUGUGAAGCAAUUUCUUAUCCUUUUGCCCCAAGUUUCUGAAACUCUCGGCUGAAAUAUAAAUACAGGCUCGGGAUGUUGAAAAGGCUCUGGAUGGGUUUACUCGGGCUGUUCAACUUGAUCCAGACAAUGGGGAAGCUUGGAACAAUAUUGCUUGCUUGUAUGCUCUUUUCUUUGUCAUCAUGUCAUUCCAUCCUCUUGCUCUGUAUUCUUUAAUAUUGUGUCAAUCACAUUCAUCUUCUAUCUGCAAGAGUAUGCUUCCCAUAUUUGGUUUACUUUGUUUUGACUUUCUUGUUGCAGUUGUUCUAUAUAAAUUUUAUAUGGUUCCAUAUUCCCUUGAUGAGUGAAUUUAGUUGCUGCAAAUGUUAAGAACUAGAUAGUACUGUUAUAAUUAGGAAUAGGGCAAAUAUUAGCCAGCUCUUUUGAGGAUUAUCCAUAGCAUAUACCUCCGUCGUUUUCAAAGCGAUUGAAGUUCUCCCUUUUGUCUUAUUUAAAAGAAAAAAGCACAAAUUGCUUCCCUCACAUCUAUCUACAGUCUCUUUUCUCUCUGUUUAAUUUUUUCUUGUGCUUAUUAUUUGUCUUUUAAUGCAUCUUUUCUUCUUAUUUUAUACUGUACUAGAAUUUGUGCUGUCUCGAUUUUAUCUUGCAUGUGAGUUACUGUGUUUUUCGCAAUUGUAGAACUUUAUUUAGCAGCAUAAUUAUUAGUUAGUGAGACAUUAAUUGGUUAAUACCACUUGUGAAGAUACGAAGAGCUACUUAUUCUCUCUUCUAGUACAUUUAAAAAAUUCAUGACAAAAUAUCUGGGAUGGUAAAAUUCUCGUCAAUUAUAACUACGGAAGUCUUGAGAUUUAUGUAGUCUUGCAGGCAUAUGAUCAAGAAGAAGAGCAAAGAGGCUUUUACAGCAUUCAAGGAGUCCCUAAAGUUGAAGUUCUGUCUUUUUUCCCCCUGAUCACUACAUUUUUAUUUUCUGUCAUGCACAAUGCAGUCGGACACUAUCUGAUCACAAGAAAACUGUCAUACAUAAUUUGUUGCUGCUAGGCAAAAGGUGAUAUCUAAUGUAAUAACCUAUAACAUGAUUUUGUAACAGACGGAACAGUUGGCAAUUGUGGGAAAACUACAGCCAUGUUGCUUUGGAUGUGGACAAUAUUGGUCAGGUAACCGCGGUUGUGCGCUUAAUGUCCAUCAUUUAUCACUGAAAUCUUUUGAGAUGAAGCUGGCAUUUCCUUAGCCACCCUCUGAUGGUUUUGAUUGCUUCAUGUAUGUUGUCAUCUUUGUCAACUAAUGAAAGCUGCAGAGAUUUUGUCAUCUUUUCAUUUAAAAGAAUUUGAUAGUUUAUAGCCCAUUGUCAUGUUUGCAUAUGUAUGUUAUUGUUCUUUUGACCUUUUUGUACCUCAGCUUCAUCCUUUUAUGCAAGCAAUUCUUUGUCAAGAAAUAUCUGGUUAACAAUUUCUUCGCAUGAAUAUUUUUACGGUCAUCAAGGUCCUUGAACAGUCAUGGUUAAUUGAUUACAGAUUCUCAAAUUUAUAAUUAUUUUUUUCAGGGUCAUUGUCCUUUGAUAUAUGCAAUUGAUGCAUGACUUUCUAACCAUUAUCUCCCUGCCUUCACCAUGGUCGUAUAAAUAUUUUGACAAGUGGGGAUUUUAUGAUUACUGUGUGCUAGGAAUUUUUUUGGUUGGAAAGAAAUGGGAGGAUUUUUCAAGAAGCUAGGGAGGGAAGACACCAAAUUUUUUUUGGUGGAUAAAGCCUGCUGUCACUUUGGGCAUCAAUUUCUAAUGAAUGCAAUAAUGUUCCUUUCUUUGCUAUUCAUUAAAAUUGAGUUGUUCUUCUUGGAUGGCCUUCUUUUUACUUCCCAUCAUUUUGCCAGCUUGUUGAUUGUCAUUUUUGCUUGUUGGCAGUCUUUUCCUGCAGUGUUGAUAAUAUUUAAUUAUAAUAUUAGACAACAGUGUCCUCAACAUGAUCUCUCUCCCAAAUUAUUACUCUUUUAUUCAUUAUACUUUUAGCAGUUUCUUUAUUUUUGUUAUAUUUUAUGUUUUCAGGCUCUAGAGGCUGUGCAGAUGGUGUUGAACAUGACUAAUAAUAAACGAAUUGAUACUGUAUUAUUAGAAAGAAUAGUGCUAGAUAUGGAAGGAAGGACUUCAAUUAUAGAAUCUGAGUCUUGCAGGACUACCCAUAAUCUUAACAGAACUAAUAACACUUGUGCAAAAGAUUAACCUGUAGAAUCUGUCCAUGUAUCAUCACCUGAGGAGUCAAUCAUGGGAAGAUCGCGAGAAAAUGAGCACUUGAUGGAGUUUCUUGGGAAAAUUCUUCAGCAGGUUGCACAUGGCUCCAUGAUCAUCUUUUUUCUGUCUUUUAAUACUGAGCCAAGGGACAGUCUCUCUCUUUCACGCAUAUCCACAACACAUGUACAUAUUUCUCAUAUUUCUAUGCGUAUAUAUUGUCAUUUCUGAUCUUUCUUAGUUUAUAUGAUAAUUGUCUUUGGGCAUAUGAUUCAUAUUUUCUGGGCACCCUAUGGUCUGUGGGUCAAUAAUAAUCCAUAGUAUCUGAAUUUCUAGACAAAAUUGGUCAUUUUAGCAAAUCAUUUGGAUGUAUCUAUGCAGCAGUUUACUAUUUUAGUGCUUGCAGGAAUUGGUAUGCUUAAAUUUUGGGCUUAAAUUGUGUGAAAAUAAUCAAAGUGAUAUGCAAAUUAAUUCAAGCCACAUGAGGAAAGAAUAUCCUUUUUUUUUUUUUUCAGCUUAUGUUACAUGUUUCUGUGUAUGGCAUAGGUAGUUCGAAGUGAGAGUAGUGCAGAUAUGUGGGGAUUAUAUGCAAGGUGGCUUAAAAAUAAAGGAGAUCUUACAAUGUGCUCUGAAGCCCUCUUAAAGCAAGUCAGAUCAUAUCAGGUUUCUCCAUAAACCUCAUCAUCUUAUAAUAAGUUAGCAUUAUGUUUUACUUUGAUGUUGAUGGAAUUUGUUAAUGCUAAUAAAAUUUUGUUAAUCUCUCUCUCUCUUUCUUUUUUAAAGAAGGCAAAGAAAAAGCUUUGUGAUUUCAUUUUUGUUUUCUAAAUUUGUUAUCUAAAGGAAUGACAAGUUUACAAUUCAGCCUCUGUGUGUGUGUGUGUGUGUGUGUGUGUGUGUGUGUGUGUCUGUGUCAGGGAUCUGAUUUGUGGAAAGAUAGAGAUCGGUUUAAAAGGUUUUCAUAUGCAUCCUUGGAACUUUGUAAGGUUUACAUGGAAAUUUCUUCCUCUUCUGGUAGCCGUCGAGAACUCUUUACUGCUGAGAUGCACCUGAAGAACGUACUUAAACAAGUAAAACACCUUAUAAUUCGAUAUUUAAGACACUUACAGUUGGUUUAAAGAUUGCAUUUUCCAUUUCUUUUUUUGACUGGUUCAGGGUAAAACUUUUUCUCACUGUGUUAGAGUGCAUUUCUGUUAUUAUAUAGUUUCUUAGAAGAAAAUGCACUUUUUGGAAUCUCAGGCUGAAGGAUUUUCUGACAUGGAAGAGUUCAGGGAUCUUCACGCUUGCCUUGAUGAACUGAAGACAAAACUCCAAUCUGGUCCCGUGGCUACCUAAGUAUCAGGAAUGUGCUAUUUUUGAAAUUUAGUAACAAGGUUAAAUCUGCAACAAAAAAUUAUUUUAGUUCGUACUGUAGUGGAGACCUUAAGCAUGACUGAGUAUCUUGUAUUGUUGUAUCACCUUUUCUGUAACAAAACAGUCUAGUUUUAUUAUUUUUGUAUUUUCGGUGCUGUAACUAAUCUCAUUUGCCAAUGUAAAUAUAUGGCUUCAAGUUCUUUAAAUGUAACAUCAAAUGUUGUUUUCAACCUCUGUUCUUUUAUGUAUUGCUUACAUGCCGUGAUUUC